CGUGUAGGCGGUUGGGAUAGUCAGACGUGAAAGCCUUCUGCUCAACAGAAGAAGUACGUCUGAAACUGCCCAACUUGAGUACGAGAGAGGAAAGUGGAAUUCCCAGUGUAGAGGUGAAAUUCGUAGAUAUUGGGAGGAACACCUGUGGCGAAGGCGACUUUCUGGAUCGAUACUGACGCUGAGACGCGAAAGCGUGGGUAGCAAACAGGAUUAGAUACCCUGGUAGUCC
This 229-nucleotide ribosomal RNA is filed under the name uncultured bacterium. Its description in RNAcentral is "partial 16S ribosomal RNA". It matches the Rfam family "Bacterial small subunit ribosomal RNA", at positions 568 to 796 of the family's 1533-position model. The record is from RNAcentral.